Molecule: ribosomal RNA, 305 nt
Filed under: uncultured bacterium
Lineage: Bacteria
Description: bacterial SSU rRNA
Rfam family: Bacterial small subunit ribosomal RNA
Source: RNAcentral
UAAGCCCUACGGAGGCAGCAGUAGGGAAUUUUCGUCAAUGGGCGCAAGCCUGAACGAGCAAUGCCGCGUGAACGAGGAAGGUCUUCGGAUCGUAAAGUUCUGUUGAAGGGGAAAACGAGCGGAGAGAGGAAAUGAACUCCGAUUGAUAUUACCCUUCGAGGAAGUCACGGCUAACUACGUGCCAGCAGCCGCGGUAAUACGUAGGUGGCGAGCGUUAUCCGGAAUGAUUGGGCGUAAAGGGUGCGUAGGCGGCCUGCUAAGUCUGGAAUGAAAGGGACCGGCGCAACCGGUACAGGCUAUGGAAA